Molecule: ribosomal RNA, 256 nt
Filed under: uncultured bacterium
Lineage: Bacteria
Description: partial 16S ribosomal RNA
Rfam family: Bacterial small subunit ribosomal RNA
Source: RNAcentral
UACGUAGGGGGCAAGCGUUGUCCGGAAUCAUUGGGCGUAAGAAGCGUGUAGGCGGCCAGAUAAGUCCGCUGUGAAAUACUCGGAGGCUCAACCUUCGAGCUGUCGGUGGAAACUGUCUGGCUAGAGUCCGGAAGAGGAGAAUGGAAUUCCUGGUGUAGCGGUGAAAUGCGCAGAUAUCAGGAAGAACACCCGUGGCGAAGGCGGCAUCCUGGACCAAUUCUGACACUGAGGAGCGAAAGCCAGGGGAGCAAACGGG